This 402-nucleotide ribosomal RNA is filed under the name uncultured prokaryote. RNAcentral's name for it is "bacterial SSU rRNA". It matches the Rfam family "Bacterial small subunit ribosomal RNA", at positions 355 to 774 of the family's 1533-position model. The record is from RNAcentral.
UAGGGAAUAUUAGAAAUGGACGAAAGUCUGAUCUAGCAACACCGCGUGUGCGAAGAAGGCCUUCGGGUCGUAAAGCACUUUUUGGAAGGAAUAGGAAGGAAUGUACUUCCAGAAUAAGUCUCGGCUAACUACGUGCCAGCAGCCGCGGUAACACGUCGGAGGCGAACGUUCUCCGGAUUUACUGGGCGUAAAGAGCGUGUAGGUGGUUCUUUAAGUAGGGCGUGAAAGCUCCUGGCUCAACUGGGGGAGGCCGUUCUAAACUACAGAACUAGAGGGUGGUAGAGGGAGGUGGAAUUCCAGGUGUAGCGGUGGAAUGCGCAGAUAUCUGGAGGAACACCAGUGGCGAAGGCGGCCUCCUGGACCAUUCCUGACACUCAGACGCGAAAGCUAGGGUAGCAAACG